AGCGAACGCUGGCGGCGUGGAUUAGGCAUGCAUGUCGAGCGAGAAACGGGGGCAACCCCGGAGUAAAGCGGCACACGGGUGAGGAAUGCGUGGACAACUUGCCUUCGAGCCUGGGAUAACGGCGGGAAACUGCCGCUAAUACCGGAUGGCCUCGACGCGUGGCAUCACGUGACGAGUAAAGGUGGGGACCGUAAGGCCUGCCGCUUGGAGAGAGGUUCACGUCCUAUCAGCUAGUUGGUGAGGUAACGGCUCACCAAGGCUUCGACGGGUAGGCGAGCUGAGAGGCUGACCGCCCACACUGGGACUGAGACACUGCCCAGACUCCUACGGGAGGCUGCAGUCGAGAAUCUUCCGCAAUGGACGCAAGUCUGACGGAGCGACGCCGCGUGCGGGAUGAAGGCCCUUGGGUUGUAAACCGCUGUCAGGGGGGAUGAAAGCGCAAGCUUGACAGAGCCCCAGAGGAAGCACGGGCUAAGUUCGUGCCAGCAGCCG
Molecule: ribosomal RNA, 492 nt
Filed under: uncultured bacterium
Lineage: Bacteria
Description: bacterial SSU rRNA
Rfam family: Bacterial small subunit ribosomal RNA
Source: RNAcentral